GUCCACGCCGUAAACGAUGGGCACUAGAUGCCGGGCCUAUAGACGGGUUCGGUGUCGUAGCUAACGCAAUAAGUGCCCCGCCUGGGGAGUACGGCCGCAAGGCUGAAACUCAAAGGAAUUGACGGGGGCCCGCACAAGCGGUGGAGCAUGUGGUUUAAUUCGAAGCAACGCGAAGAACCUUACCUGGGCUUGACAUACAGGUGAAAGCCCCUGGAAACAGGGGUCCUCCUUCGGGACGCCUGUACAGGUGCUGCAUGGCUGUCGU
This 265-nucleotide ribosomal RNA is filed under the name uncultured bacterium. RNAcentral's name for it is "partial 16S ribosomal RNA". It matches the Rfam family "Bacterial small subunit ribosomal RNA", at positions 793 to 1055 of the family's 1533-position model. The record is from RNAcentral.